Molecule: non-coding RNA, 50 nt
Filed under: Trichobilharzia regenti
Lineage: Eukaryota; Metazoa; Platyhelminthes; Trematoda; Strigeidida; Schistosomatidae
Source: RNAcentral
GUACUGAUGAAGAGUCCACGACUAGGACGAAACAGGCUGCUGUCCAGUAC